RNAcentral lists this ribosomal RNA (1052 nucleotides) under Rhinocladiella anceps. RNAcentral describes it as "SSU rRNA". It matches the Rfam family "Eukaryotic small subunit ribosomal RNA", at positions 48 to 1112 of the family's 1831-position model. The record is from RNAcentral. Lineage: Eukaryota; Fungi; Ascomycota; Eurotiomycetes; Chaetothyriales; Herpotrichiellaceae.
GCCAUGCAUGUCUAAGUAUAAGCAAUCAUACUGUGAAACUGCGAAUGGCUCAUUAAAUCAGUUAUCGUUUAUUUGAUAGUACCUUUACCUGGAUAACCGUGGUAAUUCUAGAGCUAAUACAUGCUAAAAACCCCGACUUCGGGAGGGGUGUAUUUAUUAGAUAAAAAACCAAUGCCCUUCCGGGCUCCUUGGUGAUUCAUAAUAACUUAACGAAUCGCAUGGCCUUGCGCCGGCGAUGGUUCAUUCAAAUUUCUGCCCUAUCAACUUUCGAUUGUAACAUAGUGGCUUACAAUGGUCUUAACGGGUAACGGGGAAUUAGGGUUCUAUUCCGGAGAGGGAGCCUGAGAAACGGCUACCACAUCCAAGGAAGGCAGCAGGCGCGCAAAUUACCCAAUCCCGAUUCGGGGAGGUAGUGACAAUAAAUACUGAUACGGGGCUCUUUCGGGUCUCGUAAUUGGAAUGAGUACAAUCUAAAUCCCUUAACGAGGAACAAUUGGAGGGCAAGUCUGGUGCCAGCAGCCGCGGUAAUUCCAGCUCCAAUAGCGUAUAUUAAAGUUGUUGCCGUUAAAAAGCUCGUAGUUGAACCUUGGACCUGGCUGAUCUGUCCUCCUAAUCGAGCGCACGGAUUCGGUCGGGUCUUUCCUUCUGGGGAGCCCUAUGCCCUUCACUGGGUGUAGUGGGGAACCAGGACUUUUACCUUGAAAAAAUUAGAGUGUUCAAAGCAGGCCUUUGCUCGAAUACAUUAGCAUGGAAUAAUAGAAUAGGACAUCGGUUCUAUUUUGUUGGUUUCUAGGACCGNUGUAAUGAUUAAUAGGGAUAGUCGGGGNCGUCAGUAUUCAAUUGUCAGAGGUGAAAUUCUUGGAUUUAUUGAAGACUAACUACUGCGAAAGCAUUCGCCAAGGAUGUUUUCAUUAAUCAGUGAACGAAAGUUAGGGGAUCGAAGACGAUCAGAUACCGUCGUAGUCUUAACCAUAAACUAUGCCGAUCAGGGAUCGGACGGUGGUUUUUUUAUGCCCCGUUCGGCACCUUACGAGAAAUCAAAGUGUUUGGGC